GGUGGCUCAGUGGUAGAGUGCUUGCCUUGCAUGCAUGAAGUCCUGGGUUCGAUUCCUCAGCACCA
Molecule: non-coding RNA, 65 nt
Organism: Dipodomys ordii (Ord's kangaroo rat)
Lineage: Eukaryota; Metazoa; Chordata; Mammalia; Rodentia; Heteromyidae
Source: Rfam